RNAcentral lists this long non-coding RNA (386 nucleotides) under Nicotiana benthamiana. RNAcentral describes it as "long non-coding RNA (NBEN_LNC006514)". The record is from RNAcentral. Lineage: Eukaryota; Viridiplantae; Streptophyta; Magnoliopsida; Solanales; Solanaceae.
AACCCUAUUUUUAUUUUCCAAUUUCUAGCGCAGCUUCAGUCACCAUUCACCUUCACCAAGCUAAUUUUUCGAUCUUCUUCCUCAUUUUCUCCCAAACCAAAAAACAAUCAGAUCCCUAGGACUAAAUACUGAAGGACUUAGUGUUUAUUUCGCACCCUUUGUUUUGGAUUUAGAGUUUAUUUCGCACCCAGGUAUGAAUCUCGAUUCAAAAGUGUUGUAAUUGUUGCUAGAGGCUCCGUUGUCACUGUGUAGCACUAAAUACUGAAGGACUGUUUAUUGCUAAAACUCCGUCCUCAAUUGCAAUUUCAUUUUGUACGCUAUUGUUCAUUAUUGUUGAUGAGUUAAGUGUUAUUCUGGGUUCAUUGGACAGCAGUUUCUGUUUGUUG